This 482-nucleotide ribosomal RNA is filed under the name uncultured bacterium. Its description in RNAcentral is "partial 16S ribosomal RNA". It matches the Rfam family "Bacterial small subunit ribosomal RNA", at positions 30 to 507 of the family's 1533-position model. The record is from RNAcentral.
AUUGAACGCUGGCGGCAGGCCUAACACAUGCAAGUCGAGCGGAUGAAGGGAGCUUGCUCCUGGAUUCAGCGGCGGACGGGUGAGUAAUGCCUAGGAAUCUGCCUGGUAGUGGGGGAUAACGUCCGGAAACGGGCGCUAAUACCGCAUACGUCCUGAGGGAGAAAGUGGGGGAUCUUCGGACCUCACGCUAUCAGAUGAGCCUAGGUCGGAUUAGCUAGUUGGUGGGGUAAAGGCCUACCAAGGCGACGAUCCGUAACUGGUCUGAGAGGAUGAUCAGUCACACUGGAACCGAGACACGGUCCAGACUCCUACGGGAGGCAGCAGUGGGGAAUAUUGGACAAUGGGCGAAAGCCUGAUCCAGCCAUGCCGCGUGUGAAGAAGGUCUUCGGAUUGUAAAGCACUUUAAGUUGGGAGGAAGGGCAGUAAGUUAAUACCUUGCUGUUUUGACGUUACCAACAGAAUAAGCACCGGCUAACUUCGUG